UGAAUAUGGGGGGACCAUCCUCCAAGGCUAAAUACUCCUGACUGACCGAUAGUGAACCAGUACCGUGAGGGAAAGGCGAAAAGAACCCCUGUGAGGGGAGUGAAAUAGAACCUGAAACCGUGUACGUACAAGCAGUAGGAGCACCUUCGUGGUGUGACUGCGUACCUUUUGUAUAAUGGGUCAGCGACUUAUAUUCAGUGGCAAGGUUAACCGUAUAGGGGAGCCGUAGCGAAAGCGAGUCUUAACUGGGCGCUCAGUCUCUGGAUAUAGACCCGAAACCGGGUGAUCUAGCCAUGGGCAGGUUGAAGGUUGAGUAACAUCAACUGGAGGACCGAACCGACUAAUGUUGAAAAAUUAGCGGAUGACUUGUGGCUAGGGGUGAAAGGCCAAUCAAACUCGGAGAUAGCUGGUUCUCCCCGAAAGCUAUUUAGGUAGCGCCUCGGACGAAUACUACUGGGGGUAGAGCACUGUUAAGGCUAGGGGGUCAUCCCGACUUACCAACCCUUUGCAAACUCCGAAUACCAGUAAGUACUAUCCGGGAGACACACGGCGGGUGCUAACGUCCGUCGUGGAGAGGGAAACAACCCAGACCGCCAGCUAAGGUCCCAAAGUAUUGCUAAGUGGGAAACGAUGUGGGAAGGCUCAGACAGCUAGGAUGUUGGCUUAGAAGCAGCCAUCAUUUAAAGAAAGCGUAAUAGCUCACUAGUCGAGUCGGCCUGCGCGGAAGAUGUAACGGGGCUAAGCAAUACACCGAAGCUGCGGCAAUGUCUUUUAGACAUUGGGUAGGGGAGCGUUCUGUAAGCCGUUGAAGGUGAAUCGUA
This 821-nucleotide ribosomal RNA is filed under the name Vibrio cholerae. RNAcentral describes it as "partial 23S ribosomal RNA". It matches the Rfam family "Bacterial large subunit ribosomal RNA", at positions 439 to 1265 of the family's 2925-position model. Lineage: Bacteria; Pseudomonadati; Pseudomonadota; Gammaproteobacteria; Vibrionales; Vibrionaceae. The record is from RNAcentral.